Molecule: ribosomal RNA, 253 nt
Filed under: uncultured bacterium
Lineage: Bacteria
Description: partial 16S ribosomal RNA
Rfam family: Bacterial small subunit ribosomal RNA
Source: RNAcentral
UACGUAGGGUGCGAGCGUUAAUCGGAAUUACUGGGCGUAAAGGGUGCGUAGGCGGCCAUGUAAGUGAGGUGUGAAAUCCCUCGGCUCAACCGAGGAACUGCGCUUCAUACUGCAUGGCUUGAGGGAGACAGGGGUAAGCGGAACUGAUGGUGGAGCGGUGAAAUGCGUUGAUAUCAUCAGGAACACCGGUGGCGAAAGCGGCUUACUGGGUCUCUUCUGACGCUGAGGUACGAAAGCUAGGGUAGCGAACGGG